ACGAACGCUGGCGGCGUGCCUUAUGCAUGCAAGUCGAACGGGUUUCCCCGCAAGGGGAAAUCAGUGGCAGACGGCUGAGUAACACGUAAGCAACUAACCCUCGAGUGGGGAAUAAGCCGCCGAAAGGCGGUGUAAUACCGCAUAUGCUUCCUUCCCAUAUGGGGAGUAAGCAAAGCCGAAAGGCGCUUGGGGACGGGCUUGCGGCCUAUCAGGUAGUUGGUGAGGUAAUGGCCCACCAAGCCGAAGACGGGUAACUGGUCUGAGAGGACGGCCAGUCAGAAGGGGACUGAGACACGGCCCCUACUCCUACGGGAGGCAGCAGCAGGGAAUCUUGCACAAUGGGCGAAAGCCUGAUGCAGCGACGCCGCGUGAGGGAUGAAGGCUUUCGGGUCGUAAACCUCUUUUCCAGGGGAAGAAUGAUGACUGUACCUUGGGAAUAAGCCCCGGCUAACUACGU
This 457-nucleotide ribosomal RNA is filed under the name uncultured bacterium. RNAcentral's name for it is "bacterial SSU rRNA". It matches the Rfam family "Bacterial small subunit ribosomal RNA", at positions 29 to 506 of the family's 1533-position model. The record is from RNAcentral.